This 3570-nucleotide long non-coding RNA is filed under the name Fragaria vesca (wild strawberry). RNAcentral describes it as "long non-coding RNA (FVES_LNC003032)". The record is from RNAcentral. Lineage: Eukaryota; Viridiplantae; Streptophyta; Magnoliopsida; Rosales; Rosaceae.
GGGCACAGUAUUGGUGGUGGUACCAGACUACCAGAGUAAUAAGGACAUGCAGACAACGGUAGGUUUUGAAAUGAAGUUAUUGCAUACAUACUACAUCAUCCAUCAUACACAUCAUGCAUGCAUAUAUUCAUAAUGCACGAGACACUGACAUAUCGAUCGGCUAAAAUAUUAUUGUCCUUUUAUAGGGUUAUAACUACAUAUUUUUAUUUUUAUAUAAUUAUAUGAUCGUACUAGAUCAAGUUAAAGAAAUUCAUUAAUUAUAAUCAUACGAUUGUACUAAAUCAAGAGAAUCUGAAAACAUUUCUGUUACAAAUUUCUGCCCAUGUCUAAUCAGUUUUGUAAAUUAGAUUUUUCUAUUAAUUGAUAACACGUGCAGUUUUUCAUGAUCUAAUUACAUUGAUGCUUACUUGAAGCUAGGUUGAGUUUGAUCAGUCACCUAAUUUUAAUUUUUUUUUAUCGGACUAAUUUCACAAUUUUGGUUGUAAUAUUAUGAAUUAUUACGAUUUUCUGUGUUGUUGGGUCUGUUGAUGACAUAAAGGUGAUAUAAGAUUCUUUUGGAAGGUGGAUGUAUGUAUUGAUAUAUAUUAAUUAGAGUCCGUCUAGGGUUUUAAUAUUCAUACGGAGUAAUUCUUAUUGUCGACUCUAAUGUGAGUUUUAUUACUUUUGUAUCGUUUGCUGAGUUAUAAAACUGGUUGGUUAUUUGAUAAAAAAAAUAUAUAAAUAAUAUUUACACAUCUUAUUUCCUCAUUUUCCCGGUAUUUUUUUUCUUGGCCGAAAUAUUUGACGCAUGUCCUUCAUCUUACCCACUCAUUAACAGUGUCUAUACCUUUUCUUUUUCUUUUUCGAUAAAUUUUACUACAUUUUCACUAAAAACUUGCAUAAGAGCGAUAAGACAAUUCGAGUAAGUAAAGAAGCCGGCCAGAUCAAUAAGAACAACAAGAUAUGAAUCAUAUAAAUCCAUGUAAAGUCUAUCUCUCGAACAGAAAACAAAAGAGUCAUAUGUGAAGUCAAAAACUUUUUGUUUCCACCAACAAGAGUACACAUGCAGAUGUUUUUUCUUUCAUGACCUACAGGGCCACCAACGUUAUUUUCUAAUUAAACCUGAUUAAUCUGAACAUUUUAAAGUACUAUGUAGUACCCGACGCCUAUAUUUAUAUGAACCAAUAAUUUUGACAUGAUGCACAAGAGAGAUACUAUGUCGAUUUCAGUGAGUAGCGAUAUGUCGAAUUUUGGUUUGGUGUAUUUGUUAUGAUUUUGUGUAGAUGACAAUAAGAGUUAGAAUUGUAAUACACGGUUUAUGUUUGAAAUUGAAUUUAGUAGUAAUGUCAAGAAAAGUCCAGGAAUCCAGGAUCAAUGACCUACUCAAUUUGAUCUAAAAGUCAUGAGAUCGAUCGACAUGCUUGAAUGAAAGAUUGUAACUACAUGCAUGGGGUUGCAAAGGAAACAUGGAUUGAAACAGAUCGAUGCUACUUUACGAGUAAUUGGACGCAAUUAUUGAACACUACACAUGCUACCAAAAUUUAAAAAAUUCUAAAUACUGUUUAAGUAUUGAACACUAUACAGGCCACUAAGAUUUAGUUUUUAAGCGGCGGAAAUUCUCAGUCGGCUAAGCAGACGAUAAAAUAGAUGAGCUACCUAAACGACAUAUAUAACAUUCCGUCGCCUAAGAGCUCUCUUCUAGUAGUGACAUAAGGUGUAUAAAUAUCUAGAUAUCUAUAAAUUUUGUUUAGAAGAUAUCUAGAGAUAUCUAGCUAGGUUAGAUAUGAAUAUUGUAUGAUCUCUGAAAACUUAUUCGGUAUCUGGAAUAUAAUGUGCGGGUGGGGUUUUGUUUAACAUACUCAAAUGUGCGAUCUUAAUUAGUUGACACAGAACUUAAAACGGUUCUUUUGGUAUAUAUGUGAGUGCUUAAUUAGUGAGCGAGUUUAAUUAGGGUUUAAUCAUUCCUCUACUUUUGGCAUCCUGUUCCAUUUCAGAGUACGUGCCUCUCUCGCUGUUCUAGUACCCUGUACAAAUUGAAACACAGCGAAUUAGAAAAGGCAGCAAAUGAUCGAGAAAAGGCGGCAAUUUGAAGUGGCCGGGACGUUCUUUUCUUUUAAUCCAACUUUGCAGAACUCCCACUCAGACAUGAACUUUACUUAAAGGUUAAUUAUUUGCAUGCAAAUCGAAUCAAAUAUGUCUGGGGACGUAAUCAAAAACCAACGUAAACAGAAUGAAAAGGAGAAAAAGAGGAUAGAAAGAAGAUGAGAAUCAAGGCCCCCCAUUUGUUUCGUUUAUGGCAUGCAUUGACAUAUGACUUGACAUGACAUGAAGGACUUGCUUAGCUAAAGGUUCAUAUAUAAACUAGUGCUAUUGUAUGUUCAAUUACUUGUCGCUUUUAGAUUCAAAAAUCCAAAUUGUGGAAAUCAAUUUUGGCUAGGUCACCAGGUGUUGAUAGUUGUACAUAGAGUAUGAUCGAGGAUGUUGAUUUUGCCUUUGCUAACUAUAUCAAUGUAGCAAGGUUCACAACACGUAGGGUAGUGAGUCAUUUGUUCAUAUAUUUGAGCAUAUUUCAGCAUCAUUAAUUAGCUAUAGCUCGGGUAGUAGGUGCCUCCAAACAAUAUGUCAUAUCACCUUUAAUUCAAAUUUUUGAGAUUUGCUUUGUUGAAUGAGUUUGUUGUAUUAUGAAAAUAAUAUCUAAGUCAUGGACGUAGGUAAUGUAUCGAUUUCUUGUUUAUUAGCUGUUUAUUUUGUAACCAAAUGAGGUCGGCGCAAUAUAACUAAAAUUUUGACUCGUUUGUUCUUUAUAUCAUUUUAUUAAAAUUUGGUUGAUAUGCAAUCUAACUUGAACUUUGAUAUGAUUUAACACAUAUUAGAACUAAUAUUUGGCUAUAGCAUGCAUUAUACAAGAGAAACAGGCACACAAAAUCCAUAAUUAAUUUCACAAACAUUCUGUAUCUUCUUCUAUGUAUAGUAACACUUGGUUUUUCUUUCUUUAUAGAAGGAAGGUAUAUUAUAUGCAGGAAAAGCAAAAACAGUGUUCGACUCUCCAAUCCUUUCAUACAUAAAGCGGUUGAUACUCUCAACUAGAGACUGCCCCAAAUGAUAUGUGUCAGGAACAAGGUCUAUGACUCAUUAUGCAAUGAGCGAGCUAUAUGAUUCAUGGAAGAUAGGGCACAGAAGAAGGAACGUACUUGCUUAAAUUUGUCAUUUUGUGUGAAAUGAAAUUGAAGAUUGAGCAUUGUUAGUUCGGGUCACUCGUUUAAGAAAUCAGCUUGUUAGUAAACUAAUCCUCCAACAAGUACGUACUACUCGAAGUAGAUAGAGGUAGAAAGGAGAAAUGAACAAGACAAGAUAACAAGCUUCGAUCUGUCGGAGAGUUUCACCAUGUACGUCUGUAAAAGAAAUACACAAGUACAAGAUUAUCGCUUAAGUUUAUGUCCCAAGUUCUUGUAUUCAAAAGAAUACCCUUUGUACACCCUCUUUCAACCUCAUACUCUAACCCAAAAACUAUUCACACUCUUGAAUACAUACAACUCAUUCAUGUCUAAUGCAUGCACUUAAUGAUGCCUCAAUAUUACAUGCAUACAUGCA